RNAcentral lists this long non-coding RNA (1598 nucleotides) under Salmo salar (Atlantic salmon). Its description in RNAcentral is "lncRNA (ENSSSAG00000084644.1, ENSSSAG00000087418.1)". The record is from RNAcentral. Lineage: Eukaryota; Metazoa; Chordata; Actinopteri; Salmoniformes; Salmonidae.
AGUACUUCGGUGCAGACAGGGUGUUUUGUCUCCCCUGAUGAAGGUGAACACAAACAGAAAGAUGGCCAUAGCACGCACACACUUCUGAAAAACACAAUCAGAAAAUGUGUUUGCUUCUGUUUGCUGACCCAGCCACGGUGGUGUGGGCGGCACAUGUUCCAGGUGGAUCAUGGGAAAAAACAAGACUGGAUGAGUUCAGCCGUUACCAUGGCGAUGCAGGUGGACAGCUGCUCAUGCACCUAGGACAGCGUUUAAAGUGGUUACGGGUUGCCGAGAAGCCAUUUGGAAAAACCUGCAACCCAGGAUGCCAUGGAUAAAAGGGUCCAGAUUCAGGUCAACCUUUAGCUGAAAGAGGCCUCCGAUUGUGAAGGUGGGAGAAGGCCGUGCACAGGGGAGAGGGAUCCGCUGCAGUGAGAGUCAGCAUCAAGUCUCGGACCACCUAUCUCAAAACCAGCCUCUACUCCCAAGCCACAAGACUGAUCCAACAGCUGAACCCUGGGCUGACUCCUGCACCUUACCACACACUUACCAUUUAGUCAUAUUCUGUACACAUAAAUCACUUUAGUCUACCGGACCAAUGAAGUAGUUAUGUCAACUGCACUAUGUAGAUAUACUAUUAUUAUAAUUCUAUGCUGCUACUGCAUUGUAGUUAUUCCACUCUAUGGGCAAAACAUUUCCAUACUAUAUGAAUAUAGGCUAUUUUGGUUUUAUCUUAAGGCUGUUUUUGUUUGAUCUUAUUCUUAUUUAUAUCUUAUAUCUUUUUUUGAUCUGCAUGCUUCUUUUGUACAUGUUUUUAUUGUUUAAUUGUUAGUAGGUCACACAGGAAAGGAAUCAAAUAAGUGACAUUGUACAUUUUACAAUGUCACUUAUUUGAUUCCGUUACAAUGUCACAUUAAUUACUGUGUGAGGAGCCUGUCAAUCAUUUUUUGUUGUUAUUGAUUUUACUGGAUUUAUUUGUCAUCACCUGUUGAUCCAGGGAACCAGGACUAGCCCUCAUUACCUGAUAUAUUUUGCACACACAUAAUCAUUUACAGUACUUGUUAGUACUUAUUGGAAAUCACAAUUCGUUUUUCAAAUGGACAUGGCAUCCAACGUAUCUUAAAUAAUAAAAGUCAAUAAAUAAAUAAGUGGUGAAAGGGAGUAGGCACGCUGCUGUCUUGACGCUGACAAAGCACCUUGCCUCCGACUGUCAGCUGUAGUGUCGCCAGUCGGAAGAAGGACAGGUGAAGGAUGGGGUGGGCUGUGUGAGGAAAACAGCACUUGAACUGCAGGAGCACGGCUGCCGCUUGAGAAAGUGGCAUAUCGCGGGCGCCCCAUGAAUGAGGCGAUUGGCAAAAAAGCUGUCGUACGACCACUCGGGAGGGAUGCCGGCCUCCCGAUUGCUCAUUGUGAACUCGGUAGCAAAGUGCAAAGAAAUGUUAAUUCUGGUCAGGGGGAGUUCCCGCUUGAAUUUGGUUAAAAGGGCAGUGAAUUCGCUCAUACUUUGAGAACUUGUUAGCAAGCUCCUGAGACACAUCAUUUUUCUCUCAGAGAUUAUUAACUGAAGACACAUGUAACUACUUUAAGUCUUAUUUAGUGAUAAUCAUUUACUCUGUGUU